Long non-coding RNA from Ananas comosus (pineapple), 2189 nucleotides. RefSeq lists it as uncharacterized. NCBI's taxonomy places the organism in Eukaryota, Viridiplantae, Streptophyta, Magnoliopsida, Poales, Bromeliaceae. The transcript has 2 exons. The record is from RefSeq and is a predicted model, not a curated record.
UGGUUUUGAUGGUUGCAAUUGACCCAACCCUUCUUAACUGGUGAUGAGGACACUUUGGAUGGCCUACUUUGUAGGCAACCGGUUGCUCCCUGCUAUGCAAAAAAAAGACUUCGAUGGUGAUCUAAUACGCAAAAAAAAGUCUUCGGCGGCGAUCUAAUAAUGUUCGAUGGAUAGGGAAGCCUUAUCAAAAAGAGCAACCACUCGCUACUCUUUCUCCGGCAAAACGACAACAUUUUCUUCUUCGUCGUCACCUAUGGCCGCCGCUUCGUCCAUUCAUCCAGGCUAUUUGGCUGGUUUUCAAAUGCUGAUGUAUUACGAAAGUUCUCAUCUUGCCUUUCCCUCCUUAUCCCCCCAUUCUUCUCUUUAUUGCAAAUAUUGAUUUUGUGCUCCAAUUUUUAGUUUUGGUUAUUUAUCUAGGUUAUUUGGUUGGUUUUCAUAUGCUGAUUUAUAUUGAUUUUCUGCUUCAAUUUUUAGUUUGUAUCUUCAAACUACUACAAUUUUGCGAAAUCAAAAAGGUAUUUGCGAAAUCAAACUACUACAAUUUUGCGAAAUCAAACUACUACAAUUUUUAGUUUGUAUCUUCAAUUUUCAAGCUACUACAAUUGUCUUGGCGAACUUCAGUUUGUAUCUUCUUCUUCCUUUUUACAGUUAAAUUCUUUCUAUAAAUUUCAGCCAUGUAUGGAGGACCAUUUAAAGAUCUUUGUGAGGAAUCUAAAGUAGGAAUUACAUGUGUAAUACUUUCUCCUUUGGAUUUUUCUGAUUCAGAACUUAACUCUGAGGCACAAUGGUGAAUAUCUUUCAAAAUAUCCAAAAGAGAAAACUUGGGUUCAAGAAUUUUAUAAGCUUUACAAUAUUUGUUCUCCACUUCCUGGAUAUAGCCUCUAGGCUAGGCAUAUGAAAACCCAUAUAAUCAAACGCAGAAGGAUUACGUGUCAACAAAAGUUUAAUGGCUCCCGAAGUUCUCACUGCUUUGCUUAUGUGGAUCCUUGCUUAAUAUCUAAGCAGUUUCAGCAUGUAGAGAUUAAAAAACAAUUGUUUCUAACUGAAUCGGCUCUAUUUGUUUGUAAUGAUCUUUGCAAAAUAGUUUUCUUCUGCAGAUUUUUUUUGGUGUAAGUUCCUUAUUAAGUUUUUAUUAAUCGGCUCGCAGUUGUUUUUUUUUUUUUUUUAAGUUUUGUUUGUGUCUCUUGCAAGAUGGUACCUUGAUAUUUCAUUUUAUUUGUUUACUCUGAGUACGAUUGAGUUAAAGGAAGUCUGUUUACACUACACAUUUUAUUUUUUUUCCUUUACCUUACAUAUUGAGAGGAAAAGAUAUGUUGCUUCUUUGUUUGUUGCCAUGGUGAAACUAAUUGUCCUCUUUCGACGCUGUUCUAGUUUACAUUUACACUCUCUACACUUUUUUGCUACUAUGGUGAUUGAUAGGUAGUUUUAUACAGUUUUUUUUUUUUUUAAUUUUUGCUUGACUUAAAUGUAAGAUCUUGAUAUUACAAAGAGCCCUGUAAUGACACUCUUUUUUUAAUAUUCUAUGUAUAUUUUGUCCCUCCUUUUUUAUUCUUUGGUUCUUUAUUCACCUCCUGCCUCUUCCUAUGUGAGUUUAAAGGUUAUUGGAUAUUUAUAAUGGAGCAUAUUUGGUUCUGAAGAAAGGUAUAUUAGGCUUUACCUGUGUGUACGAGUCUUCAAUGAUCAGGGCAGUUUGAGCAGACUAUAUUAAGUAGACCCACUUAAUUCUACCUUUUAUAUACAGCGAAUAUCUUCAUGCAAUUCAGAAUUAUGAAUUUUGAAUUCCAAUUCCAGAAUUCAGCCAUGCCAUUCGGAAUUCCAUGAAGAAUGUGAAGCGGUAAUGACCUUCCCCUUGAAUGUCAGAUGGUUGCGAUGAUCAAGAGAGAUGCGGACCUUCUUGGUUGGUGAUGGGUGUACUUUGGAUGGCCUAUUCUUUAGGCAACCAGUUGCUCUUAUUUGUAUUCGGAAUACUGUCGAUGUGCAUGUGGGUUCUUAUGUAGUUAGCAAUUAAUGCCUAGGGGAAGUCUGAGCAAAGUUUUUUUGUUUUUCCUAUGUUCUUCAUGUAAUUCCGAAUUGCCUAGCUGAAUUCUGAAUUCCCAUGCUAUAAUAGCCUUCUUCUUGAAUGUCAAAUGGUUGCAGUAAUUAAGGAAGGCCCGACUUUCUUGGGUGGUCAUGGGGUGAUGGGUGUACUU